RNAcentral lists this transfer RNA (69 nucleotides) under Methylobacterium bullatum. RNAcentral's name for it is "tRNA-Gly". The record is from RNAcentral. Lineage: Bacteria; Pseudomonadati; Pseudomonadota; Alphaproteobacteria; Hyphomicrobiales; Methylobacteriaceae.
GGGGUCGAAGAGGCGCGUCUCAGCUUCCCAAGCUGAAUGUCGUCGGUUCGAUCCCGAUCGCCCGCUCCA